Molecule: ribosomal RNA, 253 nt
Filed under: uncultured bacterium
Lineage: Bacteria
Description: partial 16S ribosomal RNA
Rfam family: Bacterial small subunit ribosomal RNA
Source: RNAcentral
UACGUAGGUGGCAAGCGUUGUCCGGAAUUACUGGGCGUAAAGCGCACGUAGGCGGACUAUUAAGUCAGGGGUGAAAUCCCGGGGCUCAACCCCGGAACUGCCUUUGAUACUGGUAGUCUCGAGUCCGGAAGAGGUGAGUGGAAUUCCGAGUGUAGAGGUGAAAUUCGUAGAUAUUCGGAGGAACACCAGUGGCGAAGGCGGCUCACUGGUCCGGUACUGACGCUGAGGUGCGAAAGCGUGGGGAGCAAACAGG